RNAcentral lists this ribosomal RNA (249 nucleotides) under uncultured euryarchaeote. RNAcentral's name for it is "partial 16S ribosomal RNA". It matches the Rfam family "Archaeal small subunit ribosomal RNA", at positions 478 to 726 of the family's 1478-position model. The record is from RNAcentral. Lineage: Archaea; Methanobacteriati; Methanobacteriota.
GGCGGCUCGAGUGGUGGCCACUAUUACUGGGCUUAAAGCGUUCGUAGCUGGUUUGUUAAGUCUCUGGGGAAAUCUUCCGGCUUAACCGGAAGGCGUCUCAGGGAUACUGGCAGACUAGGGACCGGGAGAGGUGAGGGGUACUCCAGGGGUAGGAGUGAAAUCCUGUAAUCCUUGGGGGACCACCUGUGGCGAAGGCGCCUCACCAGAACGGCUCCGACAGUGAGGGACGAAAGCUGGGGGGGCAAACCG